This 106-nucleotide small nuclear RNA is filed under the name Neogale vison (American mink). The record is from RNAcentral. Lineage: Eukaryota; Metazoa; Chordata; Mammalia; Carnivora; Mustelidae.
GUGCUAGUUCAGCAGCACACAUACUAAAACUGGAAUUAUACAGAGAAGAUUAGCAUGGCCUCUGAACUAGGAUAACACACAAAACUGUGAAGCAUCCCAAAUAAAA